GUUAGUUGGUGGGGUAAAGGCCUACCAAGACAAUGAUGCAUAGCCGAGUUGAGGACUGAUCGGCCACAUUGGGACUGAGACACGGCCCAAAUUCCUACGGGAGGCUGCAGUAGGGAAUCUUCCACAAUGGGCGAAAGCCUGAUGGAGCAACGCCGCGUGUGUGAUGAAGGCUUUCGGGUCGUAAAGCACUGUUGUAUGGGAAGAAAAGUUAAGGUAGGGAAUGACCUUAGCCUGACGGUACCAUACCAGAAAGGGACGGCUAAAUACGUGCCAGCAGCCGCGGUAAUACGUAUGUCCCGAGCGUUAUCCGGAUUUAUUGGGCGUAAAGCGAGCGCAGACGGUUGGUUAAGUCUGAUGUGAAAGCCCGGAGCUCAACUCCGGAAAGGCAUUGGAAACUGGUUAACUUGAGUGCAGUAGAGGUAAGUGGAACUCCAUGUGUAGCGGUGGAAUGCGUAGAUAUAUGGAAGAACACCAGCGGCGAAGGCGGCUUACUGGACUGUAACUGACGUUGAGGCUCGAAAGUGUGGGUAGCAAACAGGAUUAGAUACCCUGGUAGUCCACACCGUAAACGAUGAACACUAGGUGUUAGGAGGUUUCCGCCUCUUAGUGCCGAAGCUAACGCAUUAAGUGUUCCGCCUGGGGAGUACGACCGCAAGGUUGAAACUCAAAGGAAUUGACGGGGACCCGCACAAGCGGUGGAGCAUGUGGUUUAAUUCGAAGCAACGCGAAGAACCUUACCAGGUCUUGACAUCCUUUGAAGCUUUUAGAAAUAGAAGUGUUCUCUUCGGAGACAAAGUGACAGGUGGUGCAUGGUCGUCGUCAGCUCGUGUCGUGAGAUGUUGGGUUAAGUCCCGCAACGAGCGCAACCCUUAUUGUUAGUUGCCAGCAUUCAGAUGGGCACUCUAGCGAGACUGCCGGUGACAAACCGGAGGAAGGCGGGGACGACGUCAGAUCAUCAUGCCCCUUAUGACCUGGGCUACACACGUGCUACAAUGGCGUAUACAACGAGUUGCCAACCUGCGAAGGUGAGCUAAUCUCUUAAAGUACGUCUCAGUUCGGACUGCAGUCUGCAACUCGACUGCACGAAGUCGGAAUCGCUAGUAAUCGCGGAUCAGCACGCCGCGGUGAAUACGUUCCCGGGUCUUGUACACACCGCCCGUCACACCAUGGAAGUUUGUAAUGCCCAAAGCCGGUGGCCUAACCGUAAGGAGGGAACCGUC
Molecule: ribosomal RNA, 1220 nt
Filed under: Leuconostoc carnosum
Lineage: Bacteria; Bacillati; Bacillota; Bacilli; Lactobacillales; Lactobacillaceae
Description: bacterial SSU rRNA
Rfam family: Bacterial small subunit ribosomal RNA
Source: RNAcentral